UUUAUUUAAGGGAAAAGAUCUCAUUCACAAUAACAAUAAAAACUAUAGUUUGCACAAUCAAUUGUAGCCGUAGAGAAAGAAGGAAAGAGUAGAAUUUUAAAACCUAACAAUAUUGCCAAGUGCCCAUUCAGUGUUUUAAAACUCAGUCAAAUUCCUAUACGUCAGCAAUAGAAGGAGCUCUACCCAGCAGUCUGAGAGAAGUCCUGACUGAUGUAACACGAGAUUCAAUAUUAAAAUCGGAGUCCUUGUAUUUUCUAUGUAGGCAAUAGAUUAGAGCUUCAAAAAAAGAAAUACAGAAAGAGACAAGAAAGUUCCUUGGAGUUUCCCCCUUCCAUGUAAAGCAUAAUUUUUGCCUUAGUUUUUUUGGAAGAUAGAUUUUUAUCAGCUUAAGGCAAUUCCCUUCUAUCCAUAAGUCACUUAGAUUUUUUCUAUAACUAAAUUUACAUAACAUGUUUGAGUUACUUUUUUCUUUAAAAAUCCUAAUGUGUAUUAUUACUUGAAUACAUUUUUCUUAUGUUAAAUCCUCCAGUAUUCCUGGAGUAAAUCUGAUCUAUUUAUAUGUGUGCACUGCUGUGUUUACAGAUCUCAUGGUAGAAUCUUUACGUAAGCGGUAACAAUUCCCUCUUCAGUACUGUCCUUAUGCCACUUUUACUAUCAGCAAAUGGGUUGGGUCACUUUCUCUAUUUCUCUAUUUGAUGCAAAUUGUUUCAGAGACUAGAGAGCAGUUUGUUCUGAAAAUGUUACACCGUCUCACCAGUAAAAACACCUUGGACAAGCAUCUUUGGCAGAGAAGGAGAAACGUGGGUGGGCAGGAGAAGGUUGGACAGACUCAACACUGACUUGGCUUCUAUGAUGAUUAUACACUUUCUCGGGUUUCCCAUUUCUAAGUCAUUGUGCCACUCCUUUCUGUUUAAUGCUGCAUCCCAAGAAAAAUAUAAACAGUCGUCUCGUCUUUGUGAUGUUUACAUGCAACUAGGAUGGUGCAUCUUGUUUUAUGGGACACACAAAUCCACGUGCCACUGUGUGCAGAAACUGCAUCCCCUGUUUACUGAAUGAACAGAGGUUGUAAAGUCAAUCACUUGAGAAGGUGUGCAUUAAAUUGUUCUAAAAAUAAGAUUUCUUUCAGGUCUUGAAUGGAGCCAUAAAACCUCGAAAAGCAAGGUUUUCCUCAUCCCAACCAUGUUUGAAGACAUGCCUUAAUACGAGCCAAGAACAGAGCUAGAAAGUAAAUGGCGCUGGUCAGAGAAUAAACCUUCACCGAGUUGUAGAGGACGGUCACCGUGCCGCUACUGUUAAAGCUUUCACGUCUUCAGGUGUUUCUCUGGGUCCCGGGGCCUAACAUUAUCUGGGCUCCACCCACGGGCAGCACUGACUCGCCUCAUCUAGACUGCAUCAGGCACAUGCGCACCUUCGGGGGACCGAGGGUCCCAGACAGAAAGCCCACCGUACGAAGCGUUGUCUGAUAGCAACACCAAGCCCCUCCUAGUCGGCAUCAUCUGAUAACAAACUCGAAUUUGUAGUGGUUUAAAUUCAGCACAGAUCUCUGACUCCUCGUGUGAAGUCCCCUGCAGGCUGGACAGCAUUCCUGCUAACCUUACCUUGGGGGCCGCGUGUUUCAGAGGGCAGAGUACAAAGCAGAGGAGAGAGGGGUGAAGGAGGAGAGAGGGCUGGCUCUGAAUUGCUUCAGCUAGGAGGUGGCACAUGCCAUGUCCUCAGUAGACCAUUGGCUGAAAUUAGUUCAACAGCUUCAACUGACUGCAAGGGAGAUCAGGAAAUGUAGGGGAGCACAUGGAAUACUUGGUAAGGAGCAACUUGCCACAAUAACUGUGUGACUUUCAGCAAGUAACUCAACCUCUCUGUGCCUCAGUGCCUAUAGUAUUAGCCCCGAUUUUACAGCCAAAACUGACAUAUUGUUAAUCUUGCAAGAUUAUUAUGAGAAUUCAGGCACCCAGCGUGGUGUCUCAGCUAUAAGUGUUUAAUUCAGUAACUAUUUAUUUACUAAUUAUUAACCAUCUUUCCUUGGGCAGACACACAUGAUCAUGACAUCACAGUGACUAUCAUAGCAAGACCCUUGCCCUCACAUUGCCAGUAACUUCCUACUCAAACUGUGGUCCUUGGACCAGUAGCAUCUGCACCACCUGACAUCUUGUAAGGGCUACGGAAUCUCUGGUACCAUCCUUGACUUCCUGAAUCAGAAUCUGCAGGUCCCUGGGUGACUUGUGCAGAUGACAGUUUGAGAAGCACUGGCCGAGAACUCGGCUCCUUUAUUUCUCCCCUCAUCUGGCUAAUUCUUUGUUUCCUUUUCCAAGAACACCUGCUCGGACACUCUCAUCAGCCCCACCCCAUCUCGAGGUUAGGGAUUAGGCGUUGCCAUGGCAUUGCUAGUGCUCCUAGAGAAUGAAAGGGGAAAAGUACUCACAGUCCAGCAGGGGAGAGGCACACUCUGUGUUAUCAGAGAAAGCAGCAUAUGCAGGGCCAUGGGCUAUAAUUAAUGUUAAUAUGAACCAGGGGUGACGGGCAGGGAGGGGCCAGCAGGAUGGAAGACUGCGGGAAUUAAAGGAGAGUCUCCUUAGGCUGGACACGCUGGGCCCUGAGUCACACAGAGAAACCCAGGUUGCAAAGCAGUGACCCAAGAUGCUGCUGUGGCCCGAUGGGUGAAGGGCUUGCUCUGGACUCCCCUCCUGAAAGCUGGCCGGGCCACCUGCCCACCGCACUGUCCUUCUAUGGCUGGUUUACAGGGCAGCUGGGACUGAGGGCCUCGUGCAGAGUGAGCUUGUGAUUUAAAUUCUCUAGUUUGGUUUUCUGUGCGUACGAAUCACAAAGGAUCUCGCUAAAAUACGGAUUCUGAUUCAGUGUGUCUAACGAGGCAGGUGCUGCUGUCGCAGGGACCACGCUCAGAGAUCCUAAAGUUCUCUUUAAUGAAAACAGAAUGAAGCACAGCAUUCGGGUAAAGCAGUUUAGAGUCUUGCUACUCAGACCUUCUUACUGAUUCUGUGAACUGAGACAGAAAGCAAUUGUCUGCCUAACUUUGCAGUUUUCCCAUUUUGAGCCCAAUAGACUCAGCCAUAAAUUCCUGAAUUUUGUCUCAGAAAGCUAAAGGACAAAUAGGGAACUUGACUGUGGAGUAGCCAGCCCCCUGGCAUCUCAGCAACUCAGGCAAGGCUGAUCCAAAGGUACCUGCACCUCACUCCUCCAAAGCCCUCCCCUCCACUGUCAUCCUUGAGGAUUUUGGUCCUGGAGGCUCCUAAUAAGGCAAUUUGAAGCAUGGACGGGUAUCACCUAGGGAGUUUGAAUAACACUUUAUAAGGAACUCCUGGGACCAGCCAUUGUGUGGGUGGGCUGUUCCUGGACGGGCCCAGGCUCAUCCACCGCUUUUAAAAACCACGAGGGAGCCUGGCAGAUGCUUUGGGGCCAAGCAGAGGCACUAAAGUAGACAUCCCCCACCUCAGAACCGCCCUCCUUGUCACUGUGGCUGUUGGUUUUGAUCUGUCUCCAAACUUUUUUGAAGAAGAAAAGCAAUUCGACCCCUUGAAAAACUAGUUUAGCCUUUACCCUUUGUUUUAGAAAUCAGAAACCAGGCAUUUCUUCCAGUUUCAAUAUCAUACCUAAAAGCCCCUGUAUUUCUUCCAGGAUCCACAGCGUUCGAACCCCUGUCCUUUAAAGGGAUGCCUAUUUAGAGGGAAAAGAGGCUGCUUCUUUCCAGUCUUUCUUCACUUGGGUAGAAUUUUUACUAAGAAAUCCAAAUUGUGGUUUGGAACUCAGAGGUUUCUCAAAUAAAACAAGAGAAGACCCCUGUCGGCAGCUAUAUUUGCUGGGCAUUCACACAAGUGUUCUCUAAAACUGAAAGUCAUCUGUCCGUUCCAAUGCAAUUAAACCUGAGAUUUGAAGGAAAGCUACGAAAUAAUAAAAAGCUUAGCCAUAGUAAAUAUUUUAAUGGGACAUGUAUUUUUAAGAGUAACUGGUUUCUAGUCAAGGGAGGAGCAGGGGUAUGAUCGCAGGGGCAACAGCCGUGGUCACAAAAAGGAAAGUUGCUUUUAAUCAGAAUGCCUGCAAUCUAGUGGACCCAAUGUCCCCCCCCUACAAAGUAAACAAUCUCCAAAGAUUCUGUUCAGCCAUGAAAGGUUUAAAGGGAAAUGGGGGUAUAAUCUCAGUUACUCGUUGAGGUAGGCGGUCAGAGUUGUCGCCAUUCCCCAAAGCCGGCGGGCUUGUCCUCAUCAACUGCUUGAGCCUGCUCUUCUCAGACUCAGGGAGGCCUGCAGACAUCAGCUUUUCUAUAAACAAGAGGUGGGGGUGGUGGGGCCCAGGGUCCUGCUCAGUAUCAGGACCAGCGAAAGAGAACCCGGAGGUUCUGAUCCCUCUUGUCCUUACUCCUUCUUCCAAACUGCAUAAGUCAUUCCUUCUCCACAGGGAGGAGUGAGUGGGGGGUGGGCAGGAGGAAGACUGUCUCUGAGCACUAUGCCCGUCGAAGACCCCUCCUGGCAAUGCGAGGUUUCCCACUGUGCUGGGAAUGUGACUUUUGCCCCUCCACCACCCUGCUUUGUGCCCAGAGAGGCUGAACUCUCUGGACAUAAAUAACUGGGCUUCCUUUGACAUAGGAAAAAAUGGGGCACAAGAGGAAGGCCGUGUCCCAGGUCUUGGGGGAGUCCCUGGGAUGCGCCCCACCAAGUGAUGGUCCUUGGCUUCCCUCAGGAAAGAAUUCGAGGGCAAGCCAUAGCUGAGUAAAAGGAGAUUUACUCAGAGGAGAUGCACGCUCCAUAGACAGAGUGCGGGCCGUCUCAGAAGGCCGGAGAGAGCGACCACGAGGUGUGGGGUUGUUAGUUUUUCAUGGGCUUGGUCAUUUCAUAUGCUAAUAAGUAGGAGGAUUAUUCCAACUACUUUGGGGAAGGGGUGAGGAUUCCCAGGAAUUGGGCCACUGCCUUCUCUCUGACCUUUCAUAGUCAGCCUGGGAACUGUCGUGGCGCCUGUGGGAGGGCCACUUCGCAGCUAAUGUAUUAUAAUGAGUGAAUAAUGAAGCUCAAGGUCUACUGGGAGUCAAAUCUCCCGCCAUAUUGGGCCUCAAGGUCUAUUGGGUGUUGAACUCUCUGCCAUCUUGGUGCUAACUGUUGUGUCAUUCCUUAAACGGUCGUGCCCUGCCCCCUUCCUUCCUGUCUCACCUUACCCUCUGGCUCCCACUGGGUUGCAGGAUAAAGAGGUCAGGGUAUGUGUGUUCCUCUAGCUCCUUCAUUGCCAAGUCCCCUUUUAGACAUGGUUCUCUGCCUAAGGCCACAGCCAAGGGCAGAACUGGUUUUGCAGCGUAGAAGUUGUGAAUGAGAAAUAUUGCCACCGUAUCAGGAAACAAAGGACAUUGCAGACAGCAGUCACCAGCCACUACCGCAGCCCCCAACGGUGAGUUGGGGAGAACUCAGGACGGAGACAAGCAGGCCGCCUGCUGCCAAGCACUCGGCCACUGCAGCCACUCCCAACGGCGGCCCCAGAGGGGACUCGGGAUGGGAAAGAACAGGACACCGGCCCCAGAGAGCUGAGGUGCACAUCAAAGGGACGAUUUCAGUGAGCCCAGAGCUCUUCCAUCUUCCCUUCCACAGAAGAGCACUAAAUUCCUUAACCUGAGACAUCUCGUUUUGUUUAAUUAGCAGUAACCUUUCGAUGUUCCAACUACCUGGUCUUUGUUGCAAAAACUCCUGUAGAUCCCGCUCCCCCCUUCCCCCUUCGGAGCAGUCCCUCGGAGCUGCCUGAGAGGCCGCCUCUCCGGCUUGAAGUCCUCAGAAAACCUGCUGAAUAAAACAUAAUUCUCCACGAGUGGCCUGGCUGAUGUAAAGGACAGCCCACCGUCACCUCUCUCAGAGAGCCCCAGUCCUCUUCCCCGCCCCCCACCUCCUCUGGUCCCAGAGGAGGAACUCAGGAAGCAUGCUCCAGACACGAGGUCUGCAUCGCCCCCCACUACGGAGUUCUAAUUCAUGGGGGUUCAGGUGAGCUAACCAGGGACCCAGGGCCAUGCAGCCGAGUAUCCUCUUGAAGGUUUUCAUUUCAAACCUCUGUGCCUUGUCAACUGGAUGAGUCAGUCUCAUGACCUGGGCUCAUUAGUGAGACGGCAUUAGUGAGACGGCAUUUGUGCCCGCACGGAACUGACUCGGAGGCAAUCACACCUCCCUUUUCGUUCUCCCACUGUGGCGGGUUUCUUCCCAGCUCCGGUACCAAGAGCUGUAAGACUUUUACCAAGUCCCUCCCUCGUUCUUGCUCUGCCACGAGUCCUCUGUGACAUGAGGGGUGGGAUACAUUUGUCUCCGAGAUCCUCGACACAGUUUAACUUUUUUUCUGGCCUAUUUUUGCAUUUCGUCAUUCCAUUAGCUUGUAUUUUCCAAAUGUGGCUCCAGAGCAUGAUCUGGGGUCCAUUUGUCAACUCUCUUGGUAUCGUGUUUGAGUUCUUGUUUAAAUUUACAGGGAAAAGUGAAUUUGGAAGCACUCAGGUAUUUCAUAAUUAUUAUUCUUAGAGCACGAAAAGCAAUGUUAAAUAAAACCACUCUUCGCGUCAGUCAUUCUGAUGGCUCACUAGACAUUUCCAGCACGUUACAUUAAAAGUGGUUGUUACUUUUCACUUUUCUUCCCUAUCCAGGCCUAGACGCACACUGUGAAUCUCCGGCCACACGAGGACUGAGCACUGAGCCACGGCCUGGACCAGGCGUGAUGGGCAGUGGGCAGAGGGCCUCUGCAGGAGGGGCCGAGGCUGCUGACAAAUUGUGAUGGCAGAAGCUGGUGAUUCAUUUAGUCAUUCAACAAACAGUUUUCCUCCAAUGUUUCCCCAAAGAUGAUUCCUUUGCUAUCAUUUUUUUUUUUUUUUGAGAGUCCUUAGGGGCAGAUACUGAUGUACACACCUGUGCAAGGCUCAAGAGAAGGCAGUGUGAGAAUGCACCGCCAGGGAAGCUGCAGAAAGGGGACCGGCCAAAGGACAUGGAGAAAGAGAAGCCACCUCUUCAUAUCUCUGUUUGAGUGGAGGGAUGUGGAAACAGUUUUCCUCAGAAAUGAGCAGGAAGGGCUGAGAUGUUUCCAAGGAUGGGCACAAAUUUUAACAAAGGGUAGUUUGUAGAGAACAUUCCAGGCCGAAGGAACAGCACGGAAAAUGCCCCGUGGUGGGAAAGUGAUUAUAUGUUUGACAAACAGGCUCUGUAGGGUGGAUUUAUUCUGUCAACAAGGACUUUCUGUGGCUCAACGUUGUCUUAAGCACGUGUGUUUAUUUCCAGAUCUUCGCGACGGAUCAUUUGAGAUGAGAAUGCCUGAUGCAAUAAAGACACUGAUGCUGAAGUCUGCCUCACACUAGCGGCCGGCUCGGCUGCCGGGAAGCAAUGGAAAUCCUCUCCGGAGUCGUCCAGCACUCGAUGCAGCUUCACUGCCAUGUGGCUGGACAGAUGGUGCCCCUGUGAGCCACGGACUCCAGAGCACGUGUGAGCAUGAGGAGAAAGAGGAGUUUGAGAAAGUGGGCUCGGUACACGAACGCCAUUAUUUUAAUUUUAUGGGUCACAAUCUGCAUCGGGUGAAAGAUGGAGGAAUUAAGAAUUCACCUUAACAAGAACCUGCAUGUCCUGUAAGUCUGUCUGAAAGCCCUUUUUAUUUACCCGAGUCCCAAUCUUCUAAAGACAGUGAAUCCCAGGGAAAUUCCUCUGUGAGCUGGGCAGGGCAACAACUGCGAAGUUGGAAAUGGGAGCCAAUGGGACACAAACUGCUUUACAUAGAAAGGGCUCUGGUGAGACCCAGGGAAGGUGGGAGGAUUGGAGGAGGGGAGGCGGGGAGGGCUUGAUGUGAAGGAAGAGAGAGGGUGGCUGAUAUUGGGAGAGAAUUUGAAGAGAAGGAAGAGAAAGACUUAAAAAGGUGUUUGUGUGAAGACCGUCUUGUUACUUAGACUGUAAACAUCUUUCCUCUUUGAAACAAAAACAUCUGGUAAAACAUCAGUUCUUUCUCAAGCAGUCUGGAGUUGAGGUAGUCCCUGCAAGGCAAUGAAGUACUGAGUUUUGCUUUAAAGAAGCAGUAAGGCCAAAAGAGGCUUCUCAUAAGGACAAGAAAUUAUUUUUCACCCUCCCAUCAUGGGCUGAAUUACCAGCUGGUCUCAGUUGGGAUAAAGAAUCAUCCUGGAUAAAGAAGCUCUGGUAUAUUUAUACAACGGAAUACUCCUCAGCCAUAAAAAGAAUAAAAUAACGCCAUUUGCAGCAACAUGGAUGAACCUGGAGAUCAUCAUUCUAAGUGAAAGCACAGGAAACUGUAUUCUCCAUCUUGCAGUAAUCUAUACUGAAAAGGCACAUAUGUAUGUAUAACUGGAACUGUGUGCUUUAUGACAGAAGUCGACGCAACAUUGUAAACUGACUAUACCUCAAUUAAAAAAAAAAUCAUCCUGGAUUCUAAACUAAAGAAGUCUCAGACUCAGGUAAGAUGUGCUGGCGGGGCUGCCUGUGCUUCUGCAGACGCACGGAUCAGAUUCAGUGACCUUUCACGCGUGACUGGUGCCUGGAGUGAACAACAAGGAAAACUGUCACUCCACCCUCUUCCUCACCACCCUCGUCAGGACAUCCAGGCGAAUGCAAGCAACACCCGCCCCCAGUUCCUCCCGCAGAACGUUACAUUUGCAGUUAGUUUGGUUUUCAUUAAAAAUUAAU
Camelus dromedarius (Arabian camel) is the source of this 8639-nucleotide long non-coding RNA. RefSeq lists it as uncharacterized. NCBI's taxonomy places the organism in Eukaryota, Metazoa, Chordata, Mammalia, Artiodactyla, Camelidae. The transcript is spliced from 3 exons. The record is from RefSeq and is a predicted model, not a curated record.